This 710-nucleotide ribosomal RNA is filed under the name uncultured Staphylococcus sp. RNAcentral describes it as "bacterial SSU rRNA". It matches the Rfam family "Bacterial small subunit ribosomal RNA", at positions 62 to 754 of the family's 1533-position model. Lineage: Bacteria; Bacillati; Bacillota; Bacilli; Caryophanales; Staphylococcaceae. The record is from RNAcentral.
UCGAGCGAACAAACGAGGAGCUUGCUCCUCUGACGUUAGCGGGGGACGGAUGAGUAACACGGUGGAUAACCCACCUAUAAGACUGGGAUAACUUCGGGAAACCGGAGCUAAUACCGGAUAACAUGUUGAACCGCAUGGUUCAACAGUGAAAGACGGUCUUGCUGUCACUUAUAGAUGGAUCCGCUCUGCAUUAUCUAUUUGGUAAGGUAACGACUUACCAAGGCAACGAUGCGUACCCGACCUAAGAGGGUGAUCGGCCACGCUGGAACUGAGACACGGUCCACACUCCUACGGGAGGCAGCAGUAGGGAAUCUUCCGCAGUGGGCGAAAGCCUGACAGAGCAACCCCGCGUGAGUGAAAAAGGUCUUCAGAUCGUAAAACUCUGUUAUUAGGGAAAAACAAAUGUGUAAGUAACUAUGCACGUCUUGACGGUACCUAAUCAGAAAGCCACGGCUAACUACGUGCCAGCAGCCGCGGUAAUACGUAGGUGGCAAGCGUUAUCCGGAAUUAUUGGGCGUAAAGCGCGCGUAGGCGGUUUUUUAAGUCUGAUGUGAAAGCCCACGGCUCAACCGUGGAGGGUCAUUGGAAACUGGAAAACUUGAGUGCAAAAAAGAAAGUGGAAUUCCGUGUGUAGCGGUGAAAUGCGCAGAUAUAUGGAGGAACACCAGUGGCGAAGGCGACUUUCUGGUCUGUAACUGACGCUGAUGCGC